Molecule: ribosomal RNA, 1377 nt
Filed under: uncultured bacterium
Lineage: Bacteria
Description: bacterial SSU rRNA
Rfam family: Bacterial small subunit ribosomal RNA
Source: RNAcentral
CCUGGCUCACGAUGAACGCUAGCUACAGGCUUAACACAUGCAAGUCGAGGGGCAGCAUGGUCUUAGCUUGCUAAGGCCGAUGGCGACCGGCGCACGGGUGAGUAACACGUAUCCAACCUGCCGUCUACUCUUGGACAGCCUUCUGAAAGGAAGAUUAAUACAAGAUGGCAUCAUGAGUCCGCAUGUUCACAUGAUUAAAGGUAUUCCGGUAGACGAUGGGGAUGCGUUCCAUUAGAUAGUAGGCGGGGUAACGGCCCACCUAGUCUUCGAUGGAUAGGGGUUCUGAGAGGAAGGUCCCCCACAUUGGAACUGAGACACGGUCCAAACUCCUACGGGAGGCAGCAGUGAGGAAUAUUGGUCAAUGGGCGAGAGCCUGAACCAGCCAAGUAGCGUGAAGGAUGACUGCCCUAUGGGUUGUAAACUUCUUUUAUAAAGGAAUAAAGUCGGGUAUGGAUACCCGUUUGCAUGUACUUUAUGAAUAAGGAUCGGCUAACUCCGUGCCAGCAGCCGCGGUAAUACGGAGGAUCCGAGCGUUAUCCGGAUUUAUUGGGUUUAAAGGGAGCGUAGAUGGAUGUUUAAGUCAGUUGUGAAAGUUUGCGGCUCAACCGUAAAAUUGCAGUUGAUACUGGAUAUCUUGAGUGCAGUUGAGGCAGGCGGAAUUCGUGGUGUAGCGCUGAAAUGCUUAGAUAUCACGAAGAACUCCGAUUGCGAAGGCAGCCUGCUAAGCUGCAACUGACAUUGAGGCUCGAAAGUGUGGGUAUCAAACAGGAUUAGAUACCCUGGUAGUCCACACGGUAAACGAUGAAUACUCGCUGUUUGCGAUAUACAGCAAGCGGCCAAGCGAAAGCGUUAAGUAUUCCACCUGGGGAGUACGCCGGCAACGGUGAAACUCAAAGGAAUUGACGGGGGCCCGCACAAGCGGAGGAACAUGUGGUUUAAUUCGAUGAUACGCGAGGAACCUUACCCGGGCUUAAAUUGCAGAUGAAUUACGGUGAAAGCCGUAAGCCGCAAGGCAUCUGUGAAGGUGCUGCAUGGUUGUCGUCAGCUCGUGCCGUGAGGUGUCGGCUUAAGUGCCAUAACGAGCGCAACCCUUGUUGUCAGUUACUAACAGGUUCCGCUGAGGACUCUGACAAGACUGCCAUCGUAAGAUGUGAGGAAGGUGGGGAUGACGUCAAAUCAGCACGGCCCUUACGUCCGGGGCUACACACGUGUUACAAUGGGGGGUACAGAGGGCCGCUACCACGCGAGUGGAUGCCAAUCCCCAAAACCUCUCUCAGUUCGGACUGGAGUCUGCAACCCGACUCCACGAAGCUGGAUUCGCUAGUAAUCGCGCAUCAGCCACGGCGCGGUGAAUACGUUCCCGGGCCUUGUACACAC